Molecule: small RNA, 94 nt
Filed under: Streptococcus sp. oral taxon 056 str. F0418
Lineage: Bacteria; Bacillati; Bacillota; Bacilli; Lactobacillales; Streptococcaceae
Description: Cia-dependent small RNA csRNA1
Rfam family: Cia-dependent small RNA csRNA1
Source: Rfam by way of RNAcentral
CAUAAACAAAGACCUCCUAACUUUGUUUAGAAAUCCUAAAACUUUUUCAUAAUAAUCUCCAAAACACCGCUGUUCUAUUAUGACAGUGGUGUUU